AGGGAAACCGAGUCUUAACUGGGCGUUAAGUUGCAGGGUAUAGACCCGAAACCCGGUGAUCUAGCCAUGGGCAGGUUGAAGGUUGGGUAACACUAACUGGAGGACCGAACCGACUAAUGUUGAAAAAUUAGCGGAUGACUUGUGGCUGGGGGUGAAAGGCCAAUCAAACCGGGAGAUAGCUGGUUCUCCCCGAAAGCUAUUUAGGUAGCGCCUCGUGAACUCAUCUUCGGGGGUAGAGCACUGUUUCGGCUAGGGGGUCAUCCCGACUUACCAACCCGAUGCAAACUGCGAAUACCGAAGAAUGUUAUCACGGGAGACACACGGCGGGUGCUAACGUCCGUCGUGAAGAGGGAAACAACCCAGACCGCCAGCUAAGGUCCCAAAGUCACAGUUAAGUGGGAAACGAUGUGGGAAGGCUCAGACAGCCAGGAUGUUGGCUUAGAAGCAGCCAUCAUUUAAAGAAAGCGUAAUAGCUCACUGGUCGAGUCGGCCUGCGCGGAAGAUGUAACGGGGCUAAACUGUGCACCGAAGCUGCGGCAGCGACGCUUAUGCGUUGUUGGGUAGGGGAGCGUUCUGUAAGCCUGCGAAGGUGUCCUGUGAGGGAUGCUGGAGGUAUCAGAAGUGCGAAUGCUGACAUAAGUAACGAUAAUGCGGGUGAAAAGCCCGCUCGCCGGAAGACCAAGGGUUCCUGUCCAACGUUAAUCGGGGCAGGGUGAGUCGACCCCUAAGGCGAGGCCGAAAGGCGUAGUCGAUGGGAAACGGGUUAAUAUUCCCGUACUUGGUGUUACUGCGAAGGGGGGACGGAGAAGGCUAUGUUGGCCGGGCGACGGUUGUCCCGGUUUAAGCGUGUAGGCUGGUUUUCCAGGCAAAUCCGGAAAAUCAAGGCUGAGGCGUGAUGACGAGGCACUACGGUGCUGAAGCAACAAAUGCCCUGCUUCCAGGAAAAGCCUCU
This 952-nucleotide ribosomal RNA is filed under the name Salmonella enterica subsp. enterica serovar Kentucky. RNAcentral describes it as "partial 23S ribosomal RNA". It matches the Rfam family "Bacterial large subunit ribosomal RNA", at positions 670 to 1622 of the family's 2925-position model. The record is from RNAcentral. Lineage: Bacteria; Pseudomonadati; Pseudomonadota; Gammaproteobacteria; Enterobacterales; Enterobacteriaceae.